CGGACGGGUGAGUAACGCGUGAGAAUCUGCCUUGAGGUCGGGGACAACAGUUGGAAACGACUGCUAAUACCGGAUGAGCUGAGAAGUAAAAGAUUUAUCGCCUCAAGAGGAGCUCGCGUCUGAUUAGCUAGAUGGUGGGGUAAAAGCCUACCAUGGCGACGAUCAGUAGCUGGUCUGAGAGGAUGAGCAGCCACACUGGGACUGAGACACGGCCCAGACUCCUACGGGAGGCAGCAGUGGGGAAUUUUCCGCAAUGGGCGCAAGCCUGACGGAGCAAUACCGCGUGAGGGAGGAAGGCUCUUGGGUUGUAAACCUCAAAACUUAGGGAAGAAAAAAAUGACGGUACCUAAUAUAAGCAUCGGCUAACUCCGUGCCAGCAGCCGCGGUAAUACGGAGGAUGCAAGCGUUAUCCGGAAUCAUUGGGCGUAAAGCGUCCGUAGGUGGCAUUUAAAGUCUGCUGUCAAAGACCGAAGCUCAACUUCGGGCCGGCGGUGGAAACUGAAAAGCUAGAGUAUAGUAGGGGUAGAGGGAAUUCCUAGUGUAGCGGUGAAAUGCGUAGAGAUUAGGAAGAACACCAGUGGCGAAGGCGCUCUACUGGGCAUAUACUGACACUGAGGGACGAAAGCUAGGGGAGCGAAAGGGAUUAGAUACCCCUGUAGUC
This 661-nucleotide ribosomal RNA is filed under the name Synechocystis fuscopigmentosa CCALA 810. Its description in RNAcentral is "bacterial SSU rRNA". It matches the Rfam family "Bacterial small subunit ribosomal RNA", at positions 99 to 795 of the family's 1533-position model. The record is from RNAcentral. Lineage: Bacteria; Bacillati; Cyanobacteriota; Cyanophyceae; Synechococcales; Merismopediaceae.